RNAcentral lists this ribosomal RNA (684 nucleotides) under uncultured bacterium. RNAcentral describes it as "bacterial SSU rRNA". It matches the Rfam family "Bacterial small subunit ribosomal RNA", at positions 111 to 824 of the family's 1533-position model. The record is from RNAcentral.
UAACGCGUGGGAACGUGCCCCAAAGUGAGGAAUAUCUGCCCGAAAGGGUAGCUAAUGCCGCAUAUGAUCUUCGGAUUAAAGUAUUUAUUACGCUUUGGGAGCGGCCUGCGUCCGAUUAGGUAGUUGGUGAGGUAAAGGCUCACCAAGCCCACGAUCGGUAGCUGGUCUGAGAGGAUGACCAGCCAGACUGGAACUGAGACACGGUCCAGACUCCUACGGGAGGCAGCAGUGAGGAAUCUUCCACAAUGGGGGAAACCCUGAUGGAGCAACUCCGCGUGCAGGAUGAAGGCCUUCGGGUCGUAAACUGCUUUUAUGAGUGAAGAAUAUGACGGUAACUCAUGAAUAAGGGUCGGCUAACUACGUGCCAGCAGCCGCGGUCAUACGUAGGACCCAAGCGUUAUCCGGAGUGACUGGGCGUAAAGAGUUGCGUAGGUGGUUAGUAAAGUGAAUAGUGAAAUCUGGCGGCUCAGCCGUACAGGCUAUUAUUCAAACUCACUAACUCGAGAAUGGUAGAGGUAACUGGAAUUUCUAGUGUAGGAGUGAAAUCCGUAGAUAUUAGAAGGAACACCAAUGGCGUACGCAGGUUACUGGACCAUUUCUGACACUGAUGCACGAAAGCGUGGGGAGCGAACCGGAUUAUAUUCCCGGGUAGUCCACGCCGUAAACGAUGGAAUACUAGCUGUU